RNAcentral lists this non-coding RNA (26 nucleotides) under Rattus norvegicus (Norway rat). Lineage: Eukaryota; Metazoa; Chordata; Mammalia; Rodentia; Muridae. The record is from RNAcentral.
UGUCACUCAUGUAGGGAUUGAGCUGU